Molecule: long non-coding RNA, 2057 nt
Organism: Papaver somniferum (opium poppy)
Lineage: Eukaryota; Viridiplantae; Streptophyta; Magnoliopsida; Ranunculales; Papaveraceae
Exons: 3
Source: RefSeq, a predicted model, not a curated record
AAAUCAACUUAAAUCUAGAAUUUUAUUUCCCAACAACACUUAAACCAAUUGAUCCUAAAAAGUCUCGCCUUUUCAGAUCUUUUUCUUCUAUCUCGUCUUCGGUUCAUCCGAAAAGGAAAAACCCAAAUUAGUUCUCCCCUCUCUAUUUCAAUCAUCAACUGAAAGUAGGAAAUACUUGUCUCCUCUCGUUAUUUUUGUGUAGGUAUGUGGUUGUCGAUCUGUGUUUGGUCGAUGUGUAAAUGGUUUAUUCUUAAUUGUUAAAUUUGGGAGUUAGGGUUCUUAUGUGCAUGGUGAUAAGGUGAUAGUCUAGAUGGGUAAUUUGAGGGGAGUUAGGGUUCUUAUGUGCAUGGUGAUAAGGUGAUAGUCUAGAUGGGUAAUUUAAGGAACCAUGACAUCUUGUGAUUAGUAAUUCCGUAUCAUGAUUUACUCUUUCUGAUACUUCUCUAUUUGAUUGUGUUUAAUUUUCAUAUUUGGUCUUCAUCUUCCUUGUUUAACAGUGACCUAAUGCAGGAUUCCAUCUCUAGAGAACCAAUUUUGAUAGGGCUUCUUUGCUCAAAUCUGUUGGUACCACUUCCAAUGCUCCUCUACUCAUUGACAAGGAAUAAUACAUCAAGCUUUUUAAAGUUUAAUUUCAUCAUAUGUUCUGUUUUCCACGUAGAAAUCCGAUGUAGAACUCUUGUUAUCUGAUUUGGCUGUGAAUAAACUGAUGAAUAUGUGCAAAGUGUUUGAUGAAAUGCAUCAACGAAAUGGAAUUAUUUUAUAAGCACCUGAUAUUUGAAUAAUUCUUCUCAAAUUUUUAAAGUUAGAUGCCAUAUUUUGGUUAUGUGACGGUGGUGAUGUGGGGGUGAUCUGAUCGAAAACUUAGGUGUCAUCUUGUCUCAUAUUUCAGUUCUCGUAUUGCGAUGGCAUUCCUGAAUCGCCAAAUGAUUUUCUUGGUAAUAAGAAGUUUAUCAUUGUUGGAGUUGGAAUCAAUGGUGAUGCUUAAAAUCUUUGGCACCAAGUCCUGCUGCAAACUUGCUCGUGGUUUUGUUGAGGCGUUUGUUCUUUCAGAUAUGCCCAUGAUGACUAUAACACAUAGCUUCAUUGUUUUCACCUGAUUCUCUUUUACUAUCGAGUCUGCCAAUGAAUAAUGAUCUAAGCUAAUGGUUACAAAUCCUAGUGUUUAGAGCAUUGGUCUCAUUCAUUUACUUAAUAAUUUUAACUAUAUAUGUAUAUAUAUAUAUAUAUGUUAAUAUAAAUUUACCCCGUUACCAACCUUGAAUAUAUGUUUUUCAAUAAUAGAAUGCUUGUUCUCCUUGUUUUCCAGAUUGCUUCUGAAGGACUCAAUCACCAAGUGUUGGAGGUUUCAUGGCUGAUCUUUGAGGAAAUGAGGAUCAAUCGUACAUGAAGUUCAGACUUAAAGUUGAGGAUGUUCAAAGAAAGAAUUUUCUUACCAACUGGGGAAUGGAUUUUACAGUUGAGAUCUCUUGCAAGUAAGUGGCAGACAUUGAUUGAAGCUCAUAAUGAUGUCAAGACAACAUACAACUUCACCUUGAGGAUGUUCUGCAUUAGAUUCACCAAGUAGCGAGACAAACAGGUCAAGAGAACCUGUUAUGCUCAAUCUAGCCAGAUUUGAGAGAUUCGUCGCAAGAUGGUUGAAAUCAUGGUUACCAGGCCUCUUCAAGUGAUUUAAAGAAUUGGUGGCAGAAUUUAUCCCUGAGAUGAUUGGAAAAGGAUAUUGAGAAGGGUACAUCAAGCAUUUUCCCAUUGCAGAAUGCCUUCAUCAGGAAGGUCAUGAUCAAAAGUUUGAUAAAAUUAUGGAUGCAAGUUGUGUAAUGCGAUAGGGAAGGAGUACUUGGAGAUGUUGCAAGAGGUGACAUGACUAAAUGGCCAAAAACUUAUGUAAAUCUUGUAGGAGAGUUACCAUAUUAGAGUGACAAUAUCAGUAGAUGGAAUUCCGUUUUAAUGCUUAAUAUGCGAUUUUAGGUCGCUAUAAUCUAUCUUUCGGUUUCAGAAAUUCUAUGUUUUGAAUGUUAUUUUGGGUAUUAAUAUAAAGUUAAAUUCAUCUUUAAAUCGCA